GAAACGCGAUAGUUAAUGUGAAUUGCAGAAUUCAGUGAAUCAUCGAGUCUUUGAACGCACAUUGCGCCUUUUGGUAUUCCGAGAGGCACGCCUGUCUGAGCGUCAGCAAAACCCUUCGGCUUGACAAUUUGUUGUCCCGCCGGUGCUGGCGGCGGGGUGCCCCCUGAAAAAGGGCGCCCCCCGCUUAAACCUGACGGCGGGAGGUCCGGCGGCCACGGCAAUAGUAGAAAUAUUUUUGCAGAGUGCGCCCGUCGCUUCCCCCGCCCUUAAGCCCCAAUUCAAAUUUUUGACCUCAGAUCAGACGAGGAUACCCGCUGAACUUAA
RNAcentral lists this unclassified non-coding RNA (324 nucleotides) under uncultured Orbiliales. RNAcentral's name for it is "sequence contains ITS1". The stretch from base 1 to 105 matches the Rfam family "5.8S ribosomal RNA", at positions 50 to 154 of the family's 154-position model. The record is from RNAcentral. Lineage: Eukaryota; Fungi; Ascomycota; Orbiliomycetes; Orbiliales.